RNAcentral lists this long non-coding RNA (468 nucleotides) under Penaeus japonicus. Its description in RNAcentral is "uncharacterized LOC122266681". The record is from RNAcentral. Lineage: Eukaryota; Metazoa; Arthropoda; Malacostraca; Decapoda; Penaeidae.
CCCUCUGAUCCACUCCUCAUUCCCCAACCUGAUCUUUGUAAAAUUUUGUAUAUAAGGUCUGGACUCUAUUCUCGGUCAUCAUACCGAGCAGAUCGUUCUUCAAAGAAACAAAGCCUUUGCUCAAAUCAACAUUCACCGGUGAAAAAUGGCUCAGAUUGUGUAUCAACCUUUCUCCUUCAACAGCGGAGUCAAGAAUGUCUUCAGCGAAGACGCUCCUUUAAGUCAAAAGCACCGUAGCGAGAGCCUUCCUCGUCAUCCAGAAAGGCUGCCACACACGCUGCACGAAGAGGAAAUGGAAACCGAAGUGUUCGAUUCGUCUCCUUCUUCGAUUACGAAAGACUUUCCUGGAGCGACGCAGUCUGGCAGUCGCCGCAGGAGUAUCUAAUGACUUAUGACAAAUGUCAGUACGAUCACUGUAUACUUAUUUUCAUGGACAUGAUAUUGGCGAUUCAUCAAUAAAAGUAACAA